GAUGAACGCUGGCGGCGUGCCUAAUACAUGCAAGUCGAGCGAACAGACGAGGAGCUUGCUCCUCUGACGUUAGCGGCGGACGGGUGAGUAACACGUGGAUAACCUACCUAUAAGACUGGGAUAACUUCGGGAAACCGGAGCUAAUACCGGAUAAUAUAUUGAACCGCAUGGUUCAAUAGUGAAAGACGGUUUUGCUGUCACUUAUAGAUGGAUCCGCGCCGCAUUAGCUAGUUGGUAAGGUAACGGAUUACCAAGGCAACGAUGCGUAGCCGACCUGAGAGGGUGAUCGGCCACACGGAAACUGAGACACGGUCCAGACUCCUACGGGAGGCAGCAGUAGGGAAUCUUCCGCAAUGGGCGAAAGCCUGACGGAGCAACGCCGCGUGAGUGAUGAAGGUCUUCGGAUCGUAAAACUCUGUUAUUAGGGAAGAACAAAUGUGUAAGUAACUAUGCACGUCUUGACGGUACCUAAUCAGAAAGCCACGGCUAACUACGUG
This 497-nucleotide ribosomal RNA is filed under the name uncultured bacterium. RNAcentral describes it as "partial 16S ribosomal RNA". It matches the Rfam family "Bacterial small subunit ribosomal RNA", at positions 28 to 507 of the family's 1533-position model. The record is from RNAcentral.